This 253-nucleotide ribosomal RNA is filed under the name uncultured bacterium. RNAcentral's name for it is "partial 16S ribosomal RNA". It matches the Rfam family "Bacterial small subunit ribosomal RNA", at positions 524 to 776 of the family's 1533-position model. The record is from RNAcentral.
UACGUAGGGGGCAAGCGUUGUCCGGAAUUAUUGGGCGUAAAGGGCUCGUAGGCGGUCUGUUGCGUCGGGAGUGAAAACUUACAGCUUAACUGUGAGCGUGCUUCCGAUACGGGCAGACUUGAGGUAUUCAGGGGAGAACGGAAUUCCUGGUGUAGCGGUGAAAUGCGCAGAUAUCAGGAGGAACACCGGUGGCGAAGGCGGUUCUCUGGGAAUAUCCUGACGCUGAGGAGCGAAAGUGUGGGGAGCGAACAGG